This 788-nucleotide ribosomal RNA is filed under the name uncultured Lactobacillus sp. Its description in RNAcentral is "bacterial SSU rRNA". It matches the Rfam family "Bacterial small subunit ribosomal RNA", at positions 28 to 776 of the family's 1533-position model. The record is from RNAcentral. Lineage: Bacteria; Bacillati; Bacillota; Bacilli; Lactobacillales; Lactobacillaceae.
GACGAACGCUGGCGGCGUGCCUAAUACAUGCAAGUCGAGCGAGCUUGCCUAGAUGAAUUUGGUGCUUGCACCAGAUGAAACUAGAUACAAGCGAGCGGCGGACGGGUGAGUAACACGUGGGUAACCUGCCCAAGAGACUGGGAUAACACCUGGAAACAGAUGCUAAUACCGGAUAACAACACUAGACGCAUGUCUAGAGUUUAAAAGAUGGUUCUGCUAUCACUCUUGGAUGGACCUGCGGUGCAUUAGCUAGUUGGUAAGGUAACGGCUUACCAAGGCAAUGAUGCAUAGCCGAGUUGAGAGACUGAUCGGCCACAUUGGGACUGAGACACGGCCCAAACUCCUACGGGAGGCAGCAGUAGGGAAUCUUCCACAAUGGACGCAAGUCUGAUGGAGCAACGCCGCGUGAGUGAAGAAGGGUUUCGGCUCGUAAAGCUCUGUUGGUAGUGAAGAAAGAUAGAGGUAGUAACUGGCCUUUAUUUGACGGUAAUUACUUAGAAAGUCACGGCUAACUACGUGCCAGCAGCCGCGGUAAUACGUAGGUGGCAAGCGUUGUCCGGAUUUAUUGGGCGUAAAGCGAGCGCAGGCGGUUUUUUAAGUCUGAUGUGAAAGCCCUCGGCUCAACCGAAGAAGUGCAUNNNAAACUGGAAAACUUGAGUGCAGAAGAGGACAGUGGAACUCCAUGUGUAGCGGUGAAAUGCGUAGAUAUAUGGAAGAACACCAGUGGCGAAGGCGGCUGUCUGGUCUGUAACUGACGCUGAGGCUCGAAAGCAUGGGUAGCGAACAGG